CUUUUUAAAAUUUAAUUUAAUCCAUUUAACUACAAUUAUAAUAAUUAACUAAAAUUCAGUUAUAAUACACAAAAUUAAAAGUUUUGCCUACACUAAUAGUUACUCCUCAGUUUUGAAUUUUUUCUUUUGUCUAACUGGCCAAUUACAAGAUUACACAGCAUAAUUCUAGGUGACGCCAGUUCUCAUACUACUUGCUCAAACCAUAUAAGAGGAUAGCCUCCUGAGGAUCUCCAGCUUCUUUGAAUGUGGAAAGGAACUGCCACAUGUCCAAACUCUCAAGGCAAGCAAAAAUGCAUCAAAGCCCAGAGUUCAGUGAGAUUAUUCUGAAUAGGGGUGUCAGUCGUCAAUAGCAGCCUUGGCAUGAGGAAGCACUCUUUCGGAAGGUUUAACUUCAACAAUCAAACAAAAGAAAAGCAAAGAAAAGUCUUAGUAACAAUAGACAUGCAAUAUGAUCUAGUUUUACUACACUCAGCAAGCACCUACUACUUCAAACUCUAUAAAGCACUCGUACAUGCAAUUAAACAUUUCAAACAUCUCAAUUGUACAACGAAAAUAUUGAGUUCUGUAAUGGUCCCUGCUAUAAUAUUUUCUUUUCUUUUCUUUUUAAUUUUUAAUUAUCACGCCAAUAGUCUUUUCAUAAUUACAUCAUUUAGUUUGUGAUAACAAAGUGCACACUAUGAAUUUAUUGAUCCAAAUUUAGAUAAUCUAAUUACAUACCCAGAAUCCAGCGUUGACAUGAUUCACAAUUUGCAUAAUGACAAAUAAAAUGAACUCACAAUUAGACAUGCAUUGGAAAGAUUUUUAAGUCUAUGAGCUUCAUCAAUUAUUACAUGAUGCCAAGGAAUUUGGGAAAGAAAAUCUAGCUCCAUCAGUGCUUUGUCAUAAGUUGUCAAGAGCACAGCCAAAGGCAAUAAGGAUUCCUGUAAACAGAAUUAAAAAUGUCAACACAAGAAUUCUAGAUUGUAGAGAAAAGUCUAAACUUCAUAUUAUUACAGAUUAACAGGGAAAAUUCCUAUAAAAUUGAAUCCAUAAGAAGUCACAUAGUGAUUAUACUCUGUAGAUGCAUUGCAGGAUUCCAAACUCACAUCAGUUGAUGAAAUAUGUUCGUUUACAUGCUCGUAUGUUGCCUCGAGUAGAUUGCACAGCUGUUCUUUGUAACUCACAUACCUAAGAAGCUUUAGUUUUGGAGUGGAUUUGGCCCUCUUUGAAAAACAACAAUCUUUAACACUUGAGGACACAAUACUACAGCAAAAAUUUAAAAAACAAGAAAACAAGAAUAUUUGCAGAUGCAGGUCGGUAACAGAGAGAUGGCCAAAGAGUUCAAACUCAAUUAAUCAAAAACAGGUUUCCUCAACUCAGUUGAAUGAUGCAAUCAGACCUUAUAGCGCUAAGGUCUCUGCACCCUGUAGCUGGUUUCUGGAGGUUUGUCUGAAUGCCACUUAUUUGGCAUCCUCUUAGAUAGAAACUUUACUUCUUCUGAUCUUCCCCCAGCUUCUAAGGCAACUCUCAGAUCUUCUAGGCAGCUAAGCUGUUGAUGAUUGCCUUUCUCCACCAAUUCAUAGUACAACUUAAAUGCUUCCGAAAGUUUUUUCAUUUUGCAUAGACCUUCAAUUACUGCAUCACAUAUACCACUAUCAACAUUCUGAUGUUUCUCCAAACAAAACAGCACCAUUUUGUGCGCCUCUAGUAACUUUCUAUUUUGGAAAAGGAAAACAAUCAAUUCUUCCAUGCCAACAACAUACCCAUUAUCAUAAAGUAACCCAACAAUCUGAAAUGCUUUAUCUCGCAGUCCACUACUAAAGAGUAAUCUCAUAGUAUGUGUUGAUAGUUUCACAUUUUGUCUAAUUUUUCCCUCUAACAUCAAUAAUAUAAAUCUAGCUGAUUCAUGCGCACAUCCCUUUUCCAGAAGUCCUGCUAAUAUAGAAUGGAAAGUAGAAGUUUUAGGGACAUGGGAGCUCUUUAUCAUCUUCUCUAGAGUCUGGUAGGCAAGAAGAGGUUCACCCUUGUGCAAGAGACCAUCAAUCAAUGACUGAUAGGUCUCAAAAUCAGGCACAAAUUCUCUUCUUAACAUCAAGACCAAGAGCUCAUAACCAGCUUCACAUGUACCUUCACUACAGUGGCCCAUUAUCAGUGUCUUGUAAGAAGGAGGAUCUUGUGUUCCCCUUUUCAUUAGCUGCCUGAAAACUCUUUCUGCCUUGUUAGUCUUCCCAUUUUUACACAAAAACUCAAACAUGGAUUUGUAUGCUGCAACCAAAGGUGUACACCCAUCAUCUCUUAAUAAAAUAUCCUUGUCCAAUAGCUCAUCAAACAACUGCUCUGCUCUCUCAAAGUCCCCUCUUUGACACAAAUUUCUAAUCAGAACACUAUAUGUAGCAGAAUCUGGUUGGACCUUCCACUCCAUCAUCUUCUCAAACGUCUUCAGGGCUUCAUUCAAAUUCCCUGCAUUGCAAUGUGCAUUCAUCAAUGUAUUAAAAGUACAGGUAUCAGGAGUAAAUCCUCCAACACCUAAGGCUCCCUCCAAAAUAUCUUUGAUCUUAUCAAUCCUCUGCGCUUCACAAAGACCCUUAAUAAGAGUGUUAUAAGUAACUUCAUUUGGUUUUAAUCCUUUAUUCGCCAUCUCUUGAAAAACAACCAAAGCCUCAUCAAUAUCUUGCUUCAUACAAUACCCUCUAACCAAAGUGGUGUAAGUAACAACAUCAGGGUUCAAAUCUGCACUUUUCUUAACCAUCCCCUUAACGACAUUAUGCGCAAUCUUAACCUUCCCUGCUCUACACAACCCAUCAACAAGCGUAUUAUAAGUUACAAUAUCAGGAUCACACUUAAAACGAGACAUUUCCUUGAAAUACCUAAACCCCUCAUCGACCAUUGAAUUCUUACAGAAACCUCUAAUCAGAAUGUUGAAAGUAUAAGUGUCAGGCGUAACACCAUAUGUGCUGAGCAUUUCAUCAAACACACUCUGGGCCAUAUUGGUCCGUCCACGUUUUAGCAAAAUUAGUAAAAGACUAUUAAACGUGACCACAGAUGGAGAAACUCCAACAGAUUUCAUCGAAGCAAAAAGCUUUACAGACUCUUGAAACAACCCAGCUCUACCAUAACUCCUAAUUAAGCUAUUAAAAAAUCUAUCCUCUAGCUUAACCAUCCCAUUGGACUUUCUCUUGAUGGAGAAGAGGAAAUUACGCGCUACAUUGAGAUUCCGAGCACGACCCAAGAUUUCCAACAUCAAGAAAUAAGAUUGGUCGUUGUGAGUGAACCCCAUUUGUGAAACCCAAUUGAAGAAUUGAAGGGCUUUUGAUGGGGUCCUGAUUAAACGAAGAACUUGGAGGACAGUAGUUUUUGAGAAUGAGGGAGAGAUAGAUGAGAGCGAAGACUCAAGCUCAGCAGACCAGGGUUUGGAGUUGAUGAGUCUGGCCAUGCAUUUAGCCUUAAUGGUUUUUGUAGAAGCCUUUGGUUUAACAUUAGCAUCCAAUUCUUCAUCUCCGUGAUUCCUGAUGCUUUGAGAGGAGUAGUGCCUGGGAGCUACUUGGAACUUUUGAGAGAUGAGCUUGGAAAAUUGCCUAGCUAAGAAUGGCAAUGCCCGACUUGGAGAGUUGGUAAUGGCAAUC
RNAcentral lists this unclassified non-coding RNA (3602 nucleotides) under Hevea brasiliensis (rubber tree). The record is from RNAcentral. Lineage: Eukaryota; Viridiplantae; Streptophyta; Magnoliopsida; Malpighiales; Euphorbiaceae.